GACGAACGCUGGCGGUGUGCUUAACACAUGCAAGUGGUGCGACGAACCAGAGCUUGCUCUGGGGCCACGCCGCGAACGGGUGAGUAACACGUGUGUAAUCUACCCCGAUGACUGGGACAACCCUAGGAAACUCUGGCUAAUAUCGGGUGUGGUACCGCGACAUAAGUGUCUUCACUAAAGGUAGCUUCGCCUUCCGCGUUGGGAGGGCGCCGCGGCGCAUUAGAUUGUUGGUAGGGUCAAGCCCUAGCAUGGCCAGGAUGGGUAGCUGGACUGAGAGGAGGAUAGGCGGCACUAGAGCUGGAACACGGACAAGAGGCCUAAGGGAGGCAGCAGAGGGGAACCUUGGGCAAUAGGCGAAAGCGUGACGCAGCAACACCGAGUGAGAGAAAAAGGCCUUGGGGUUGUAAACAUCGUUCAGGGGGGACGAAGGGCCUCCGGUGGAGAGCAGGGAGGAGUGACGGUACCGGCAGAAGAAGCACCGGCUAACUACGUG
Molecule: ribosomal RNA, 493 nt
Filed under: uncultured bacterium
Lineage: Bacteria
Description: partial 16S ribosomal RNA
Rfam family: Bacterial small subunit ribosomal RNA
Source: RNAcentral